This 200-nucleotide long non-coding RNA is filed under the name Ananas comosus (pineapple). RNAcentral's name for it is "long non-coding RNA (ACOM_LNC035747)". The record is from RNAcentral. Lineage: Eukaryota; Viridiplantae; Streptophyta; Magnoliopsida; Poales; Bromeliaceae.
CGAGAUUUGGGUUUUCCUGUGAAAUACGGCUUGGAGAUGAAGUUGGGAGAAGCGAUCGAGGGGUCUUUCGAAUUGAAACGCGCCAUUUCGGGUACUAUGGUGCACAUAAUGGUAUGGAGAGGGACUGAGACGAAAAUAUGUUUAUGCUGUUGAGGGCUGGAUGCUUUUUUUUGUGGUGUUAGAAGGACUUUUGCAGAAAU